Molecule: non-coding RNA, 589 nt
Organism: Paramuricea clavata
Lineage: Eukaryota; Metazoa; Cnidaria; Anthozoa; Malacalcyonacea; Plexauridae
Source: the annotation of a GenBank genome assembly
GCGUAGCUCAGUUGGAAGAGCAUUGGGCUAGUAUUCCAAAGGUCGUAGGUUCGAAUCCCACCGUGGCCGGGCAUAUUUUCAAGCUCGCCCGGUGUGGAUAUGCACUCAGAGUAACAUCACAAACAUAUUAUUCACCUGGGUACACAAGACCAGCACAAAAAAAAAAUUCAUAUUACAAGAACACAUUGGUAUUGAAGGAACUAGAUACUGUUCCGAAAUAUCACUUACUCGAACCGUCCUGACCGCGUAGCUCAGUUGGAAGAGCAUUGGGCUAGUAUUCCAAAGGUCGUAGGUUCGAAUCCCACCGUGGCCGGGCAUAUUUUUCAAGCUCGCCCGGUGUGGAUAUACACUUAUAAGUAAUAGCAUAAAAAGAAGCGAAUUAGCUAUUAAAACGUCCCGCCCGAUGAGGGUCGUUUAGUAUAAUUCCCUUGGGCGCCGCUCGAUGAGGGUCAUUUAGUAAAAUUUUACUAAAUGACCCGAAUCGAGCGGCGCCCAAGGGAAUUUUACUAAACGACCCUCAUCGGGCGGGACGUUUCAAUAGCUAAUUCGCUUCUUUUUAUGCUAUUACCUUAUAAUAUCAUGAUUGCGG